RNAcentral lists this ribosomal RNA (345 nucleotides) under uncultured archaeon. RNAcentral describes it as "bacterial SSU rRNA". It matches the Rfam family "Archaeal small subunit ribosomal RNA", at positions 691 to 1036 of the family's 1478-position model. The record is from RNAcentral.
CCGACGGUGAGAGGUGAAAGCUGGGGGAGCAAACCGGAUUAGAUACCCGGGUAGUCCCAGCCGUAAACGAUGUGCGUUAGGUGUAUCGGUGACCACGAGUCACCGAGGUGCCGAAGAGAAAUCGUGAAACGUACCGCCUGGGAAGUACGGUCGCAAGGCUGAAACUUAAAGGAAUUGGCGGGGAGCACCACAACAGGUGGAGCCUGCGGUUUAAUCGGACUCAACGCCGGGAAACUCACCAGAUAAGACAGCUGAAUGAUAGUCGGGCUGAAGACUCUACUUGACUAGCUGAGAGGAGGUGCAUGGCCGUCGUCAGUUCGUACUGUGAAGCAUCCUGUUAAGUCA